UACGAAGGGGGCUAGCGUUGCUCGGAAUCACUGGGCGUAAAGCGCACGUAGGCGGAUUGCUAAGUCAGGGGUGAAAUCCUGGAGCUCAACUCCAGAACUGCCUUUGAUACUGGCGAUCUUGAGUCCGGGAGAGGUGAGUGGAACUGCGAGUGUAGAGGUGAAAUUCGUAGAUAUUCGCAAGAACACCAGUGGCGAAGGCGGCUCACUGGCCCGAUACCUGACGCUGAGGCACGAAAGCGU
RNAcentral lists this ribosomal RNA (240 nucleotides) under uncultured bacterium. RNAcentral describes it as "partial 16S ribosomal RNA". It matches the Rfam family "Bacterial small subunit ribosomal RNA", at positions 524 to 762 of the family's 1533-position model. The record is from RNAcentral.